This is a non-coding RNA of Paramuricea clavata, 343 nucleotides long. NCBI's taxonomy places the organism in Eukaryota, Metazoa, Cnidaria, Anthozoa, Malacalcyonacea, Plexauridae. The record is from the annotation of a GenBank genome assembly.
GUGGAAACACUUGUUUUCGUUCGAAGAUUCCACAUGCGCUUUACGACAAAAUGGCGAAGAUGAACCAGGUUUGGAAAGAAUUAAAUGCCAAAGUGACGGCCAAAAGAACAAUAAAUCAUAACGGACGCAAUGGAAGCCAAAAAGGAACGGCCAGGGAACUAGUUGUUCAACGAGGAAACUAGUUGGCCCCGAGCUAAGCGGGAAAAGUCGAAUACGAGCGCGAAAGCUUAACACACUAAAAUGCGGUACCCUACAAAUAAAACUUCCGGCGUUUAUGCCCACAAGUAAAGUUAUAUUUUAUAGUACGCUACAUUCUUCUGUCGGCCGCCAGUUUAAAACGUCC